AACGAAGGCCAAAACUAGAAUCGCGACCUAUCUGAGGAAUUUCAAGUUUAGACUCGGCCACUUUAAUCUGACCCGUGGAAGAGGCAGGACUGGGAAGAUUUCUUGUAUAGUUUCGCGGUGUGAAUUUUGAGGUAGUGCUAAAAAGCUAGAAUAAGUAAGUGCGGUACUGUGCGAGAUUUGGCAAGAAAACAAAAAGGUAAAAAGAGAACGCUUUUGCUUUCUAAACGAUACGCUCACACUGUGGUGUAGCCGUCCAACGGCUUUUUUGUUCCAGUUUUUUCUUUGUGCACGCCGCCUCACCUCCUGCUCGGCACACCGCGCCCAUCAAGCCAAGUACCUCUAUCCUGACCCCACGCGCCAGCAUUAAAGGUCCCCAACGUCCGGCCGGCGUUGGAAGGGAGUUGCAAUCGCCAACACUGCACUCCGGAAGAGCCCGAUUCCCGCCCACUGGGAAUUAUUCAUUCGCCGCCCACCAAGUUGGCGAAUUAUUAGCAGCGCGAGUCAUCCAAGCGACGCGCCAUUGUUCACUGUGGUGAACCAGCACCGGCGCGGCGACGCGACGCGAGAGGCAGAGAGAAGUAACAAACCGUGAGUAAGCUCCUGCGGGAGAGGUACAAAUGUUUAUUUGAGCGUGCUUAAAGCGAAGAAGAUGUGAGAAAGCUCGAGUUUUAUAGCAAGAAAUCCGCACAGUUAGGCAGUUAGAAGGGAGAGGAAGAAAGGAAAGAAGAGAGCGAGAGAAUCGCAUGGUUAGGGUACCCGAAUAAAAAUGAAUGUUUAGUGGAAUAGAUGUAGUUUGAAUAAAAGUUUUCGUGUUUUCUUAAAUGUUGUGUAAUUAGUGAGCUAGAACUUCCGUCUGAUGAUUGCACUGGUGUAGAAGGUAUUUUCACGUUUCGUUCGUUCCGUUUUGCUGUAGUUUUGGUUGAUGUACUCCAAGUGUGGACUGCUUGGGAAUCUCAGUCCCCCAUUCGUGUUUCUGAAGCGUUAGGGUUAGAGGGUUUGAGGAAGAACUUGGCCUGUGAUGAGAACUGGUCGACCACGUGCUUUCGUUCUGGUAGGAAUUCGAGCUCUGUAUUGCUUUUCGGGUUGGUUAGGAGUUGCGUUCCGAGUACUGAUUAAAUCUGGGUAUCUACUAAUACGUUCGGUCUAUUGACUAUAAUUGAACUCGCCCUGAGGCUUGAGUUUUGCCGGGCAACUAAAACGACAAGUGGUCCUCUUAGGAGGUGGCGCUUAAGCCAUUUGUUUAACCAAUUUUCGAACGCUCUAGUAGAUCUGAGACUUAGCCACUCGAGCCGGCUACAACCCCAUCCCCUGCAAAUGAAACGGUUGGUACGGUUUUCCCCGUUUCUUCCUUUAUCAUAUUCAAAAAAUUGCGUCAAUUAUGUUAUUCAUACGUGGGUAAUCUAAUUGCCGCUAGUUUUUGAACUUUCUUUAAAACCAUUAGUCUGCACAGUGGGCCUGGCCGUUUUAAUAUUUGUAUCA
Long non-coding RNA from Aedes albopictus (Asian tiger mosquito), 1479 nucleotides. RefSeq lists it as uncharacterized. The transcript has 2 exons. The record is from RefSeq and is a predicted model, not a curated record. NCBI's taxonomy places the organism in Eukaryota, Metazoa, Arthropoda, Insecta, Diptera, Culicidae.